RNAcentral lists this ribosomal RNA (253 nucleotides) under uncultured bacterium. RNAcentral's name for it is "partial 16S ribosomal RNA". It matches the Rfam family "Bacterial small subunit ribosomal RNA", at positions 524 to 776 of the family's 1533-position model. The record is from RNAcentral.
UACGAGGGGGGCAAGCGUUGUUCGGAAUUAUUGGGCGUAAAGGGUGCGUAGGCGGUUUGGUAAGUCUUAUGUGAAAUCUACAGGCUCAACUUGUAGUCUGCAUGAGAAACUGCCGGGCUUGAGUUUGGCAGAGGAGACUGGAAUUCCUGGUGUAGCAGUGAAAUGCGUAGAUAUCAGGAGGAAUACCGAUGGCGAAGGCAGGUCUCUGGGCUAGAACUGACGCUCAUGCACGAAAGCGUGGGGAGCAAACAGG